UACGUAGGUUGCGAGCGUUAAUCGGAAUUACUGGGCGUAAAGCGUGCGCAGGCGGCUUUGCAAGACAGAUGUGAAAUCCCCGGGCUUAACCUGGGAACUGCAUUUGUGACUGCAUGGCUGGAGUGCGGCAGAGGGGGAUGGAAUUCCGCGUGUAGCAGUGAAAUGCGUAGAUAUGCGGAGGAACACCGAUGGCGAAGGCAAUCCCCUGGGCCUGCACUGACGCUCAUGCACGAAAGCGUGGGGAGCAAACAGG
This 253-nucleotide ribosomal RNA is filed under the name uncultured bacterium. Its description in RNAcentral is "partial 16S ribosomal RNA". It matches the Rfam family "Bacterial small subunit ribosomal RNA", at positions 524 to 776 of the family's 1533-position model. The record is from RNAcentral.